ACUUAAAUAAUUUAAAUAAAAAUAUUGAUUUGUGGAGUCAAAUAUGUGAUCUAUUCAUUUUAAGUU
Molecule: transfer RNA, 66 nt
Filed under: Anthocharis scolymus
Lineage: Eukaryota; Metazoa; Arthropoda; Insecta; Lepidoptera; Pieridae
Description: tRNA-His
Source: RNAcentral